AACACAUGCAAGUCGAGCGGUAGCACAGAGGAGCUUGCUCCUUGGGUGACGAGCGGCGGACGGGUGAGUAAAGUCUGGGGAUCUGCCUGAUGGAGGGGGAUAACUACUGGAAACGGUAGCUAAUACCGCAUGACGUCUUCGGACCAAAGUGGGGGACCUUCGGGCCUCACGCCAUGAGAUGAACCCAGAUGGGAUUAGCUGGUAGGUGAGGUAACGGCUCACCUAGGCGACGAUCCCUAGCUGGUCUGAGAGGAUGACCAGCCACACUGGAACUGAGACACGGUCCAGACUCCUACGGGAGGCAGCAGUGGGGAAUAUUGCACAAUGGGGGAAACCCUGAUGCAGCCAUGCCGCGUGUGUGAAGAAGGCCUUCGGGUUGUAAAGCACUUUCAGCGGGGAGGAAGGCAAUGAGCUUAAUAAGUUUGUUGAUUGACGUUACCCGCAGAAGAAGCACCGGCUAACUCCGUGCCAGCAGCCGCGGUAAUACGGAGGGUGCAAGCGUUAAUCGGAAUGACUGGGCGUAAAGCGCACGCAGGCGGUCUGUUAAGUUGGAUGUGAAAUCCCCGGGCUCAACCCGGGAACAGCAUUCAAAACUGACAGGCUAGAGUCUCGUAGAGGGGGGUAGAAUUCCAGGUGUAGCGGUGAAAUGCGUAGAGAUCUGGAGGAAUACCGGUGGCGAAGGCGGCCCCCUGGACGAAGACUGACGCUCAGGUGCGAAAGCGUGGGGAGCAAACAGGAUUAGAUACCCUGGUAGUCCACGCUGUAAACGAUGUCGACUUGGAGGUUGUGGUCUUGAACCGUGGCUUCCGGAGCUAACGCGUUAAGUCGACCGCCUGGGGAGUACGGCCGCAAGGUUAAAACUCAAAUGAAUUGACGGGGGCCCGCACAAGCGGUGGAGCAUGUGGUUUAAUUCGAUGCAACGCGAAGAACCUUACCUACUCUUGACAUCCAGAGAAGACUGUAGAGAUACGGUUGUGCCUUCGGGAGCUCUGAGACAGGUGCUGCAUGGCUGUCGUCAGCUCGUGUUGUGAAAUGUUGGGUUAAGUCCCGCAACGAGCGCAACCCUUAUCCUUUGUUGCCAGCACUUCGGGUGGGAACUCAAAGGAGACUGCCGGUGAUAAACCGGAGGAAGGUGGGGAUGACGUCAAGUCAUCAUGGCCCUUACGAGUAGGGCUACACACGUGCUACAAUGGCGCAUACAAAGAGAAGCGAGCCUGCGAGGGUGAGCGGACCUCAUAAAGUGCGUCGUAGUCCGGAUUGGAGUCUGCAACUCGACUCCAUGAAGUCGGAAUCGCUAGUAAUCGUAGAUCAGAAUGCUACGGUGAAUACGUUCCCGGGCCUUGUACACACCGCCCGUCACACCAUGGGAGUGGGUUGCAAAAGAAGUAGGUAGCUUAACCUCAGGGAGGGCGCUUACC
Molecule: ribosomal RNA, 1418 nt
Filed under: Brenneria salicis
Lineage: Bacteria; Pseudomonadati; Pseudomonadota; Gammaproteobacteria; Enterobacterales; Pectobacteriaceae
Description: bacterial SSU rRNA
Rfam family: Bacterial small subunit ribosomal RNA
Source: RNAcentral